This 368-nucleotide ribosomal RNA is filed under the name uncultured bacterium. RNAcentral's name for it is "bacterial SSU rRNA". It matches the Rfam family "Bacterial small subunit ribosomal RNA", at positions 144 to 507 of the family's 1533-position model. The record is from RNAcentral.
UAACGUAGACGAAAGUUACGCUAAUACCGCAUAAGCCCUGAGGGGAAAGUGGGGGACCGCAAGGCCUCACGCGAAUGGAGCGGCCGAUGUCAGAUUAGCUAGUUGGUGAGGUAAAGGCUCACCAAGGCGACGAUCUGUAGCGGGUCUGAGAGGAUGAUCCGCCACACUGGAACUGAGACACGGUCCAGACUCCUACGGGAGGCAGCAGUGGGGAAUUUUGGACAAUGGGCGCAAGCCUGAUCCAGCCAUGCCGCGUGAGUGAAGAAGGCCUUCGGGUUGUAAAGCUCUUUCGGCCGGGAAGAAAUCGCACAGGUUAAUACCCUGUGUGGAUGACGGUACCGGAAUAAGAAGCACCGGCUAACUACGUG